Molecule: long non-coding RNA, 427 nt
Filed under: Monodelphis domestica (gray short-tailed opossum)
Lineage: Eukaryota; Metazoa; Chordata; Mammalia; Didelphimorphia; Didelphidae
Description: lncRNA (ENSMODG00000038774.1)
Source: RNAcentral
AGAAAAUGAAAACAAAACAAAACACCAAAGUCAUUGCCCCUGAAGCAACUAUAAUUUUCUUUUCUUCUCAGAUGAACCCCACCUUCUCCACCAGCGAAUUUUAGAUUUAUUGGAUUUCUCCUAGCCACCAAGAAAAAUGAAUUUGAAGAGAUUCAACUUCUUACCUUCAAAUUUGAGCUGGCUCCAGCACACUCUUGAAACACACCUGGAGAGAACUCAAGCUAAUGCUAUACAGAAGAGCCAUCCAAGGGAAACUUCCCAAAGACUAGUUCCUUCUUUUUGGCUUUGUCCUGGCAAAAGUCUCCAAACAUCAGGAGUGCUCCACCCAAAAUUAUCAUAUAAAAGGAUAUGGACUUUUCACAAAUGCCUGUGGAGUCAACAGAUUAUGUCCACUGGGCUUUAUAGAGGGAGUUUUCAAUAACUUGUA